AUUAUUUUGGCAGAAUUAAUGUGAUGAAUUUAGGUUUCAUUAAUAUAUAAAUUUAUUUAUAUAAAUAAUA
RNAcentral lists this transfer RNA (70 nucleotides) under Cheumatopsyche campyla. Its description in RNAcentral is "tRNA-Leu". Lineage: Eukaryota; Metazoa; Arthropoda; Insecta; Trichoptera; Hydropsychidae. The record is from RNAcentral. RNAcentral also lists the same sequence under 2 other names.